AAUGAGAGUUUGAUCCUGGCUCAGGAUGAACGCUGGCGGCGUGCCUAAUACAUGCAAGUCGAACGAACUUCCGUUAAUUGAUUAUGACGUACUUGUACUGAUUGAGAUUUUAACACGAAGUGAGUGGCGAACGGGUGAGUAACACGUGGGUAACCUGCCCAGAAGUAGGGGAUAACACCUGGAAACAGAUGCUAAUACCGUAUAACAGAGAAAACCGCAUGGUUUUCUUUUAAAAGAUGGCUCUGCUAUCACUUCUGGAUGGACCCGCGGCGUAUUAGCUAGUUGGUGAGGUAAAGGCUCACCAAGGCAGUGAUACGUAGCCGACCUGAGAGGGUAAUCGGCCACAUUGGGACUGAGACACGGCCCAGACUCCUACGGGAGGCAGCAGUAGGGAAUCUUCCACAAUGGACGCAAGUCUGAUGGAGCAACGCCGCGUGAGUGAAGAAGGGUUUCGGCUCGUAAAGCUCUGUUGUUAAAGAAGAACGUGGGUAAGAGUAACUGUUUACCCAGUGACGGUAUUUAACCAGAAAGCCACGGCUAACUACGUGCCAGCAGCCGCGGUAAUACGUAGGUGGCAAGCGUUAUCCGGAUUUAUUGGGCGUAAAGCGAGCGCAGGCGGUCUUUUAAGUCUAAUGUGAAAGCCUUCGGCUCAACCGAAGAAGUGCAUUGGAAACUGGGAGACUUGAGUGCAGAAGAGGACAGUGGAACUCCAUGUGUAGCGGUGAAAUGCGUAGAUAUAUGGAAGAACACCAGUGGCGAAGGCGGCUGUCUGGUCUGCAACUGACGCU
Molecule: ribosomal RNA, 788 nt
Filed under: Pediococcus sp. NIR3
Lineage: Bacteria; Bacillati; Bacillota; Bacilli; Lactobacillales; Lactobacillaceae
Description: bacterial SSU rRNA
Rfam family: Bacterial small subunit ribosomal RNA
Source: RNAcentral